RNAcentral lists this ribosomal RNA (739 nucleotides) under uncultured organism. RNAcentral describes it as "bacterial SSU rRNA". It matches the Rfam family "Bacterial small subunit ribosomal RNA", at positions 719 to 1437 of the family's 1533-position model. The record is from RNAcentral.
AGACGGUUCUCUAGGAUGAUCCAUGACACUGAGGCAUGAAAGUUAGGGGAGCGAACGUGGAUUAGAUACCCCGGUUAGUCCUACCUGUAUACGAUGUGCACUAGAUGUUUCCGCGUCUCAUCGGGAGUGUUCGAAGUUAACGUGAUAAGUGCCCCGCCCUGGGGAUUACGGUCGCAAGGCGUGAGACUCUAAGGAAUUUACGGGGGCGACGCACAAGCGGUGGAGCAUAUGGUUUAAUUCCGACGCUACAGCGUAGUAACACUUACCUGUGCUUGAAAUGAUGGGUUUAGCUUCCUGAAAGGGAAGUGAACCUGCACGCAGGAGACCAGCAGAGAUGCUGCAUGGACGUCGUCAGCUCGCGUCGUGAGAUGAAGGGCUAAGUCACGCAACGACGCGCAACCCUUGCCGUGAGAAAAACAGCGAGCCGUGGCGGGUACUCUAAGGAGGACGGCCACGGACAACCAUGGAGGAAGGUGGGGACGAGUACAACUCAGCAAGGCCGGCAAUCACAGGCCGAGCACAUAAUAAACAAAGCGCGGGACGAAGGUACGCGCCACCGCAAGGUGGAGCUAAUCUUCAAAGCUGCUCUCGCUUCGGAUCGCAGGCAUGCAAUUCGCCUGCGUGAAGUUGGAAUCGCUAGUAAUCGCGGAUCAGCCUCGCCGCGGUGAAUACGUUCUCGGGCCUUGACACACCGCCCGUCACAUCACGAAAGUUGGUUAUACCCGAAGUCGCCGGGCUA